Caenorhabditis elegans is the source of this 221-nucleotide non-coding RNA. The record is from Ensembl. NCBI's taxonomy places the organism in Eukaryota, Metazoa, Nematoda, Chromadorea, Rhabditida, Rhabditidae.
GGUGGUGUCAUAAAGUGACAAGCGGGCAUCGCCACGGAUCAAUCAGAAAGAGGAUGUAACCAGUCGUCAGUAUUAUAGGGACAAGGCAGCAGUUGGUCGUGUCGGACAGACAAAAAGCCAGGAGCACCAUCGUGUCAAUCGGCAAUGUGUUCCAAGAGUCGUUGGAAACAACCGAGAGGCGCCAGCCGAUAUCCAUGUGAUAGUGAAAAGGUUUGUUAUUG